This is a long non-coding RNA of Sitophilus oryzae (rice weevil), 184 nucleotides long. RefSeq lists it as uncharacterized. Lineage: Eukaryota; Metazoa; Arthropoda; Insecta; Coleoptera; Curculionidae. The transcript is spliced from 2 exons. The record is from RefSeq and is a predicted model, not a curated record.
UCAACGCCGGUGUCACACGAUCAGCUGACAAACAAUUGAAACGUCAGUCUGUAAAUCGUAAUAUAAACAAGAUGAAAUUUAGGGAAAAAUCAACUAUAAUCAGACCCAACAUUCCCACUUGUUGCGUUGAAAACAGACAAAAGAUAAUCACAUCAAGUCUAUGUUCAGGAAUCCUCCGAAGAAA